AAAUAAUAGUCAGAAAAUUGCUAGAAUUACCGUCCGAUUGUACAGUGGUGACAUUUGGUUUUCUAAAC
Small nucleolar RNA from Esox lucius (northern pike), 68 nucleotides. The record is from Ensembl. NCBI's taxonomy places the organism in Eukaryota, Metazoa, Chordata, Actinopteri, Esociformes, Esocidae.